CAAUAGCGUAUAUUAAAGUUGCUGCAGUUAAAAAGCUCGUAGUUGGAUUUCUGGUAGGAGUGACCGUUCCGAACUUGAUUGUUCGUGUAUUGUGUUUUCUCCAGCCAUCCUUGUGGAGAACUUUUCUUGCAUUAAUUUGUAGGGAUUGGGACCCGCAUCGUUUACUGUGAAAAAAUUAGAGUGUUUAAAGCAGGCAAUCGCUUGAAUACAUUAGCAUGGAAUAAUAAGAUAGGACUUUGGUACUAUUUUGUUGGUUUGCAUACCAAAUUAAUGAUCAACAGGAACAGUUUGAGGAUAUUCGUAUGAACAUGUCAGAGGUGAAAUUCUUGGAUUUUGAUCAGACGAACUACUGCGAAAGCAUUUAUCAAGGAUGUUUUCAUUAA
Molecule: ribosomal RNA, 383 nt
Filed under: uncultured eukaryote
Lineage: Eukaryota
Description: partial 18S ribosomal RNA
Rfam family: Eukaryotic small subunit ribosomal RNA
Source: RNAcentral